UGCAAAUAUGGUCGACAACACCGUUUCCACUUUGACGCUUUGCCUUGAAAAUCAUUUAUCUGUUUGUAAACGUUCAAGUCGAUUAUGUCUUACAUAUGGUAGUAGUCGAUUAUUUGGAGUCGGCUUUCUGCUGGAGAAAACCACCGGCUUGUGAAUUUUCAUACGUUUUUAGAACAGCGUUUUUACAAAUAUAAUAGUGACCACCUUACAUAUAAUACAUGAACUACAGUUAGACUUCACAGACGAGCAAGUGCAACGGAAGGUGUAUGUUAAGAGCUAGGCGGCACAACUAUUGUGGUUUUUAGAAGCAAAGGCAAGUAUGGGCGUAUUUCUACCAUUAUCACAUGUGGUUCUACGGACAAUUUCAUAGAUGACAUUGAGCGUGCUGUGUAUGAUGGUGCAAAUACCUAGUUAAGUGUUUGACAUGUGACGGUCUAGUGCUGCUACCACUGAAAUCAAAUUAGUCUUCCGAACUGGCUGUCCACGUCGAUAUCUUACCCGGUCUAGAACAAUAUGCUGUGCGUAGAUGCAUGCGCAACACCUACACGAGCAAGUCCUCGCGAUUUACGUCUACAAUUACACUGCGCCCACUUUCUUCAUAUUUCCGCUCCGGUUCAUUACUGCGACGCGUUGUAUUGGUAUACGUAAAUUUACAAACAAUCACAAUUACUAAUCUACUAUCAAUAUAUGAAAUUUUUCGAUGUUUUAGUUUUAGACCAUAUGAAUGCAUUUUCCUAACUCUUACUAAUAUUAAGGACGCCAAUUAUAUUAAUGUAGACAAAUUUUAGACUAUAAACUAUUGUAGUAAAUUUGUAAUUUUUGUUGCCAACAAUUUUAACUCUUCUAACUCCAAUUUUUUUCUUAUGUUUGAAAAUGAUCGACUGAACUUCUGCUUUCGCAAUGUCUUUAUGUACAUGUAUUAUUAUGCACGAAAUACGGAAUUAAACUUUCU
This is a long non-coding RNA of Anastrepha ludens (Mexican fruit fly), 952 nucleotides long. RefSeq lists it as uncharacterized. The transcript is spliced from 5 exons. The record is from RefSeq and is a predicted model, not a curated record. Lineage: Eukaryota; Metazoa; Arthropoda; Insecta; Diptera; Tephritidae.